GAUGAACGCUGGCGGCGUGCCUAAUACAUGCAAGUCGAGCGAACAGACGAGGAGCUUGCUCCUCUGACGUUAGCGGCGGACGGGUGAGUAACACGUGGAUAACCUACCUAUAAGACUUGGAUAACUUCGGGAAACCGGAGCUAAUACCGGAUAAUAUAUUGAACCGCAUGGUUCAAUAGUGAAAGACGGUUUUGCUGUCACUUAUAGAUGGAUCCGCGCCGCAUUAGCUAGUUGGUAAGGUAACGGCUUACCAAGGCGACGAUGCGUAGCCGACCUGAGAGGGUGAUCGGCCACACUGGAACUGAGACACGGUCCAGACUCCUACGGGAGGCAGCAGUAGGGAAUCUUCCGCAAAGGGCGAAAGCCUGACGGAGCAACGCCGCGUGAGUGAUGAAGGUCUUCGGAUCGUAAAACUCUGUUAUUAGGGAAGAACAAAUGUGUAAGUAACUAUGCACGUCUUGACGGUACCUAAUCAGAAAGCCACGGCUAACUACGUG
Molecule: ribosomal RNA, 497 nt
Filed under: uncultured bacterium
Lineage: Bacteria
Description: partial 16S ribosomal RNA
Rfam family: Bacterial small subunit ribosomal RNA
Source: RNAcentral